GCUCUUCGUGUACUGCCGGAAGGAGUUCAUGUGCGUUAUGACAUCGUAAUUCAAGAACCUGGCAUCCUCGUAGAAUGCUAAUGCCUCUACUUUGUCGUAGUAGAUGUUGAGUUUUUUGUUGGGGUUGCGUGCGGUGAAGUUGAGGACCAUGUUGUAGUGGAGGGUGUUGUUGUUGGUGUUGUACUCGAAUUGGGUUAGGUCGGCUUCCGUGACAUGGAACUUGAAGGAGCGGGGUUGAACUACCAGCCAGAAUAUGAGGAUUGCGAGGCCAACGAUGACGAUGAGUGCAACCAGAAUCUUCCACAAGAUUCCGAAGAGGCAGCAACAGCAGCUUCUGUGGCGUUGAGGGCGGUGGUGUGGUUGCACCGCCGGGGGAAUGGCGGGACCGUAAUAUGCACCGUUCAAGUGGGGUUGCUUAUCGGCCAUGAUUGGUGAAUGCAGAUUGAUAGAUGAAUGAAGAGAAGUAUGUAACAGGGGCUUGGUAUGGGGAAAGUGGUGAAUAUUGUGAGAUAGAGAGAAGGGAGUGGCGUGUUAUAUAGAAAAGCAAGGCAUUGAAGAUUCUACAGAAAGAACGCGGUGGUAAGUACAUGUCCGUGUUGGGCAUUUCUGCAUUUGGCUUUUCAAUUUCUUUUAAAGAAAGAAAUCGAAAAAUAGCGGAUUGUAUUGACCGGUAGUUUGAUUAAGAUUGACCGUGGCAACCACCAAGAACAUUCGCACGGAACAAACACAUUUUUAAGUUGUCUUGUUAGUUAAUGGUUGUGAGGAUUAUUAUACUUAUCCAAACAACCACGCUUGAUAUUGUCAUUAUGCGUGACCAAUUUGUACCACUUAAUGAUGUCAUGUAACAACACAACUGAAUAAUAAUUUAAUAAAAGAUGAGUAUCGGGGUAAAAGUUCCCUAUCUUGCAAUAAUAUAUGAAUCAACAAAAACAAAAUUGAACAUAUAAGGAACAUUUCAGGGAGAAUGGAUAUAAGGAUUUGUACCUAAAAAAAUUAGCUACCUGGACCUUUUCCACCUACAAUAUUUGAAAUACUCUUUUAAUAUUAUUUUAUAAUUUCUACACCUUUUUGUCACAUGUGAUUCUUAUAACAAGAACCUAUUUAGAAGCUUCUAUGUCAUGGAAAAUUACUCUCCCUAUAAACCUAGGAGAGACAAAGUUACUCUAAAGUUUUAUCUUAUAGAUUUUUCAAUCACGUGAACUUCAAAAAACAAAAAUAAAAGUGCGAUUAUCAUAUAACGAUUUCGUCUUUUUUGUGUGUGUAUUUUACCACUUUUCUUUUUCUUCACUUUUAAUGGCUUCUUUAUAAGACCAUGGUUCUUCCCUCCUCAUCUAUCAAUGUCAUAAACUCAUCGAUGAUAUUAUAUGCACUAAACCAAUUUGUAUAAACCAAAAUAUUACUUGUAAUACUAACUAAAUUAGAGAUCAUUUUAAAAAUUAAAAAAAUUUGGUUUCUAAAUUAGUUUAUAUUAUAUUUUAUUAUUGUUAAAUAGUUUUUAAAUUGGUAUCUAAUUAACAACUAAGGUUUUCGCUACCAAAUUGAGAAACUAAAUAAUUGGUAGUUAAAACUUAGUUGCUAAUUAGAUACCAAUUUAGAAACUAUUUAACAAUAAUAAUAAAAUAAUAUAAACUAAUUUAGAAACCAAUUCUUUUUUAGUUUCUAAAAUAGUCUCUAUUUUAGUUUCUAUUGUAACUUUGUCUUUAUUUCAUGAUUUUUGUGUAGUAAUGAUUAUUCCUCCUGGUUGAACUGUUAUGAUAAACUUAAGAUGCUUUAAUUAUAUUAUAAAAAAAUUAUCUUGUCAAAUUUCAUAAUCCUCUUCGUCAUCAUUAAUAAGAAUGUUUACCUCAUCUCCAACUUUAUAUUUUUUUCAAUCCUUAAAACACAUUUUUUAGCUUUACAAUUCAACCAUUGUUUAAUAAUAUGGUAUCACAAAGAUAUCUUCAUCCAUUUUGAUAUAUAUUACUCAACAUAUAUUCAUAUUUAAAAGAGAUAGUUGAAAUUAAAAUCCCAUAUUAAUUAGAAGUAGGAAAAUGUAAACUAAUUUAAAAUUACAAAUAAUUAGUCAUUAUAUUAACUACAUUAAAAAUUAUUUUAUAAAUUAAAAAUUAUUAUUAUCUAAAAUAAUUUUUAUUAUUAAAAAAAUUUAAUAUAAUUAGAUACUAUAUUUUUAAGUAAUUAAUUAUUAUAAAGAAUAUUUAUUUAUUUGGACACACUUGUUUUUUUAGUUUCUGAUUAAGAUAUAAUUUGAAAUCAUUUUUAGUCACUUUUAAUCUAUUUUAUAAACUAAAUUUUUAUUUUCAAUUAUCAUAUCAUUAUAGACUUAAAUUUUUAGUCACAAUUAUCUAAAUUUAAAUAUUGAUUUUGGAACAACUAAAAUUUAUAAAAUUAUAAACCAACACUACAAGAAAAAAUAUCCAAUUUUUAUGAAUAAUUAUUUAAAAAAUAAGAUUCGUAUAUAAGUUUAUUUAUACUCACUAAAAUAUUUGUAGGAAAUAUAAUUUUUAACUAAAAAAUAAUGGCCCAAUUUUCUAUGAAUAAUUAUCUACAAAACGAUGUUCACAUGUAAUUUUAUUGUACCUACUGAAAUAUGUGUAAUUUUCUAUUAACUUAAAAAAGAAUACAAAGAUCUCCUACAUAGACAAACAACCAGAAACAUGAAUAAUAUUACAUAUAUAAUCUAUAGAUAAAGUUGAAAAAAACCUAUGGUCACAAUCCCAACUUUUUCCUUCCCAAUUUUCUAAACAUGACUGCUUCUUCCUCAACUCCAUAUUUUUUUUAUCAUCUCCAUAAAUUUUAAAAUUCUCAAAAUUAUAUUUCAAUAAAAAAAUAAAAAUAAUGCUUUACUCUGUGAAUUAUAUAAUUUAAAAUAAAAAAUUAUAACUUUUAAAUAGGUAAUCCGAAUCUAUUUAACACCUCACAAGACCGAAUUACAUAAUUUAAAAAUUAUUUUAAAAAAUAAAUCUACGGAUUUCAGAAGUAAAAAUUAACACUUUCAAAUUAUGUAUUCUGAAAUUUAUUUAACAAUUCGAAGCUUAUUUAAAAAAAUAAAUCUACCGAAUUACGUAAUUUAAAAAUAAAAAAUUAUUACUUUUAAAUUACAUAAUUUAUCUAAUAUUUAGUUAAAUAAGUUCUAAAUAUAAUUUAGUAUUGUUAGUUGUUUCAUAGGUUAUGGAUGGCAUAAUUCGACUUUUUGAAAAUUUGUAAUUUUUGACUUUCAGAUUAAAUAAUGCAUAUAGAAAACUAUUGUUUUUAUUUUUAUUUUUUACUAAAGAGUAAUUUUGAUAAUUUUAAAAUUUAAGGAGGCUGCUCAAGAAGUGAUGGAGGUGCAGAAGGAAGUCCUAAAACAUUUGUUCCCAAAUUUUCCCAAGUAACCUUCUUUCUAAAAUCUGAAACCUAAAUCCCCAAUCACUGAAUGAAGCCCCAUUAUCGUCGAUGAUAUACGAGAGCUUUGCUUCCAACUGUCUGUGAGAAUGUUAAAAGCUUUGAUAAAUAGCUCCAUCGUCGCGCCUUCAACAGUGGCGAGUUGAAGAAUCAGAGGAUUCAAACGUUGAUUCGGAAGGAGACAUUUAAGGUGGCCAUCAUUGAAAAACUACCGUGACAGGUACUGACAUUCUUGUUUCUUCUAUCAACAAGCAUUUGACGAGGACGGGCAGCGGAAGGUAGAUGAUUGUUUGGAUUAGUUUAUUUUCUUCGAAUAUCUAGAGAAUUGAGUUGAUUGAUGUUGUUAGGUGUUGAAAUGGAAAAAGGAAUCUAUUGAAUGUUGGAAUGGUCUGUAGGGAAUCUCAGCUUCGUGGUGGCCGCUUUAGAUAUACCUAUACAUAAAAAAAUUGUUUCUCUUGCUAGAAAUUUUCAAAUUUUUUAAGGUUGUUCUGAGAUCCCCAUAAAUGGAAGGUAGUAAUGUUUGGUAUUACCUUUGUUAAUUUUGUUGGCAGUAUGAGAACUGAUAGAUAAGAUAUGUUUAGAAUGGAGAGAUUAAUUGAAAUAUAUGAUAUAGUUUAGAGAGAUAAAAUUUCUGCUCGGUGCCACUACUUUUAAAAUUUUUUUCCUUUUUAAUUUUUUCUUGUGAAGUAGUCUAUCAGAUAUCAUACCAGAAGACAUUGAAAUUGACUCUCGAGGUUUGAGUCUUGGUCCUUGUAAGAACAUGAACUUUACAAAGCUAUUUUCUUAAGCACUCUUACAUAUUUUGUGAUGUGGGUGGGAGUAUCACAAAUGUUCCCUUUAUAAAAAAUAUAAAAAGAUAAUUCAAAGCUCAUGAGGCCAAGCAAAAUAUAUGGUGUACGUUGUUGUGACCAAAAGUUGAAACCAAUGUAAUUAAUUCUAGAUGAGUGCAAGCAUAAUCCUGGGAAAGAUUCCGAAUAUGUAGCGACAAUAACUUCUGCUGCAGUAACGGUAGAGUGGUUUGCCCGGUGAAGGAAUGGCCUGAUCGUGAUGAUGGGCAUGGUUCAAGAGGGGUUGUUCAUCGACCAUGUUUGCAGAAGAUGAAGAGAAUCAGAUGUGGGAAUUACUGGAGAGAAUUAUAUGGGAAUAUAUACACAGAUAGAAAGGGAAAGCUUUCAAGAAUUGAACAUUCUAAUUUCAGUUUGAAUGGAACAACGCGCUUGUGAUUUGGGAGUACGUGUCCGCGUAUUCUAUUCACCAACUAUUUAAAACUAAAUAAUACAAAUCUUUUAUAUUUAUUUACAACAUAUAUGUAUAAUGUGUUGUAUCAUUACUCCUCUGAAUAAGUAGAAUGCCUCACAUCUAAAUACUAUUAGAUCAUCUAAGGAGUACAUUUGCUAACGAACUUCUGCAUACUUAGUAGAAUUUAUUUUUAAAAACACCCAAAUAUAAAUGAAUCACAAGAAAGUAUUAUGGAAAACCUAUAACAUUUGACUUUUCACCUAUAUGAAAACACUAAUGAUCCAGACAUGAAAAACUAGGAGUGGAAAAGGAAACAGAGAGAAAGAGAUCGAUAUGAGGAGGAAUGGGUGAAAAUAGAGUUUUUUUUUUUCGAAAUAAAUGUAUAAGAGAUUAUAAAGGGAUAUUAUUUUGUUGGAAUAAUAAUAUAAAAAAUUAAUCAUUAUUAUUAUUGUUAUUAUUAUUAUUAUUUAUUCUAUAUUUUUAUUAUAAAAAACAAACUGUAAAAAGCAAAAAAAAAAAUAUAUAUGUUGUGUCAUAACUGAUGGAUUAUGUUUAUAUAACAAUCAAUCCAUUGGGUCGACGAUAUAGAUUAUGUGUUAUGUUACAUUUCAAUUAGUUACAUAUGUUAAUGACAUAAUUAAUUAUGUUUCGAAUUUAAGGUUUAUUUUUGUUCUCAAUAAUAAAGAAAUUAUACAUACAUAAAUAUAUAUACAUAAAUAUACAUACAUAAAUAUAUAUACAUAAAUAUAUAUACAUAAAUAUAUAUAUAUAUAUAUAUAUAUGAUUCUCCUAAAACCUGUAAUAAUUCCCUCCCUAAUAUUUUUUUUACAAAGUAGGUCGAAUUAAAAGAAAAAUGAGUAACUAUAAAUGAUUUACAAAAAAGGAAAUUACACUAAAGAUAAAAUCAGGACAAUAAAAAUAGAGAUUCAAGAAAUCAAAGAAAAGGAUAAAAAAGGAUGUUAUGCCAAUGAGAUUAAAAAAUGUUCCUUCAGAAUUCCAAAAUAUAAUGAAUAACAUAUCAUCUCCUUUUUCAGAAUUUUAAUAUUUUGACAAUGUUUUGAUAUUUUCAGAAUCUAUAGAAUAACAUAUAAAACAUAUGAAAGCCCUUUAAACAUUUAAUAAAACAAAAUGAUUUAGUAGUUUAGGCAAAGAAAAUGAGCCAAUUUCUUCCUGCACCAUAUCAAUUCUAACAUGCUGCAUCGUAUAUUUUUUUAAAUUUCCAAUGGAUUUGAAAAUCCAAAAUAGUAAAUAUAAUUCAAAACUAAAAAAAAAAACAUUUUGUAAAAAAAAAUCUGAAACACAAAAUUAAAAAUGCAUUCUGGAUAAAAAUUUCUGGAAUAAUGUGUUCCAGAUAUCUAAAUUCAAAAUAUUUCCUUCUGAAAUUAAUUUUUAUAUACACCUCUUUUUAUUUAAGGUUAUUUUCUUUUGAAAGAAAUUUUUUCACACAAGAUACGUACCGAAGAGUCAGCAACAGGAGCUUCUUCCGUGGUGCUGCUUAUCAGCCAUGCUUGCAGUUGCAGAUGAGUGAUGAAGCGAAGAUAUAUAUUUAUAUAUACUUUGGUGUGGACAAUAAAUUAUCAAAGGAAGAGUGAAGGUGGUGAAUUGCACGGGAGUGGUGCGAAUUUAUAUAGAAAGGAAAGGCAUUGAAGAUUUAAUUUUUUAUUCAUUAAUGGAAACAAUCAAUAGCUUAUUGUAUUGACGGCUAAGGAAAAUUUCAUGUCGACUCACUGCCACAACCACGAAGAAACAUUCCCAGGUGCAUUUAUAUUUAUAGCCUCUUAUCCAAAACUGCGACACUUGAACUUUUCGUUACGAGGGCAUAACCUUUUUUUUUUGCUUCUUUUUUAUAUAUAAAACUUUCUUUUACUUAAAUAUUCGUUGGUUUUAAUUCAAGGUUUAUUAAUGCAUUUAUACUCAAAUACUAGUUGAUGUUGAUAUUAAUGUAAUGUUAUGUAUAGUUGUAUUUGCUACUCAUCCCUCAGUGGUUCCUUCUUUUCAUUCCCUGUAUUGAUUAUUUAGUACUCAUUAGAAGUGAUCUUGCAAAAUAUUCUUCAACAAACAACUAACAGUUUUGUAUUAGAAUGAGUAAAAUCUUAAUAAAAACUAUCUUAUUUUUUAUAAUCAUAUUUAUUUAUAAGAUUUAUAAUAAAUUAUCUGUUUAGGUAUUUAUCUUGAGAUAAAUUAUCUAAUUUAUGGUAUAUCUUCUUAUUUGACCUAAACCCUAAAUCCUAAAUGAAGUAAUUCAUUUAGUCUUAAUCAAUACAUUAUGAAAACACUGUUAAACUAUAUUCCUAAUACAGUCAGUAGUUAGGAUUUUACAACAUUAUUCUAAUUAUAAGGAGGUUUCCCUAAAUUAUACUUCAAUAUUAUGCUGAAAUUCAUUAUUUUUGUAUAAUUUAAACCUGUUUAUCAAGUCGGUCUCAACAAAAUAUUUCUCUUUUCUUGAUUGCAGCAUACAACAACUAGAAAAGGAUCUUCAUCAAGUUCUGAUAAAUCCAGAGGCCAAAGUGCUGUAAAAAAUAAUUCAAGAAAAACAUGUAUGAUUUGCAAUGUACGUAGGCUAGUACUUAAUUAAUACCAAAAGACAAAUAACCAAAAUCAAUAUAUUGCUUGAAAAAAACCCAUUAUACAGAAAGAAGAAAUAAAUAAAUGACAAAAGAAACACUUAAUUUAAUUUUGAAAAUAUAAAAUAAGGGAAAUUAUAGAAAGAAAAAUCGAAAAUGUAUCCCUAGAAAUGGAUUGAACAUUUAGUGGUCUGAAAGAAAGUUAGGGUGCCAAUUUUACUCAUUGGAACCUUGAGGUGGCAUUUGACCUUGGGCUUCAAGUGACGAGAUAUGACAUCCCCGAGCUUGAACCGAAUCCUGAAGUAGAGCUUCACAUAGAUGUCGUAAACGCCAUCAUUCGUGUCUUGGUUCAACUCAGUGAUUUGCUCAUUGUCUAGUGUAAGCACUCGGUGCCCUGAGAAAACAGCGCUCAUGGGACUGCUGCUCUUCGUGUACUGCCGGAAGGAGUUCAUGUGCGUUAUGACAUCGUAAUUCGAGAACCUGGCAUCCUCGUACAAUGCUAAUGCCUCUACUUUGUCGUAGUAGAUGCUGAGUUUUUUGUUGGGGUUGCGUGCGGUGAAGUUGAGGACCAUGUUGUAGUGAAGGGUGUUGUUGUUGGUGUUGUAUUCAAAUUGGGUGAGAUCGGCUUCCGUGACAUGGAGCUUGAAGGAGCGGGGUUGAACUACCAGCCAGAAUAUGAGGAUUGCGAGGCCAACGAGGACGAUGAGUGCAACCAGAAUCUUCCACAAUAUUCCGAAGAGGCAGCAACAACAGCUUCUUCCAUGGUGAU
This 7953-nucleotide long non-coding RNA is filed under the name Phaseolus vulgaris (common bean). Its description in RNAcentral is "long non-coding RNA (PVUL_LNC005237)". The record is from RNAcentral. Lineage: Eukaryota; Viridiplantae; Streptophyta; Magnoliopsida; Fabales; Fabaceae.